AGUGAACGCUGUCGGUAGGCCUAACACAUGCAAGUCGAACGGCAGCACAGUAAGAGCUUGCUCUUACGGGUGGCGAGUGGCGGACGGGUGAGGAAUACAUCGGAAUCUACUUUUUCGUGGGGGAUAACGUCGGGAAACUUACGCUAAUACCGCAUACUACCUACGGGUGAAAGCAGGGGAUCUUCGGACCUUGCGCGAUUGAAUGAGCCGAUGUCGGAUUAGCUAGUUGGCGGGGUAAAGGCCCACCAAGGCGACGAUCCGUAGCUGGUCUGAGAGGAUGAUCAGCCACACUGGAACUGAGACACGGUCCAGACUCCUACGGGAGGCAGCAGUGGGGAAUAUUGGACAAUGGGCGCAAGCCUGAUCCAGCCAUACCGCGUGGGUGAAGAAGGCCUUCGGGUUGUAAAGCCCUUUUGUUGGGAAAGAAAAGCAGCAGGUUAAUACCCCGCUGUUCUGACGGUACCCAAAGAAUAAGCACCGGCUAACUUCGUG
Molecule: ribosomal RNA, 492 nt
Filed under: uncultured bacterium
Lineage: Bacteria
Description: partial 16S ribosomal RNA
Rfam family: Bacterial small subunit ribosomal RNA
Source: RNAcentral